UACGUAGGGCGCAAGCGUUGUCCGGAAUUAUUGGGCGUAAAGAGCUCGUAGGCGGUUUGUCGCGUCUGCUGUGAAAGCCCGGGGCUCAACCCCGGGUGUGCAGUGGGUACGGGCAGGCUGGAGUGCAGUAGGGGAGACUGGAAUUCCUGGUGUAGCGGUGAAAUGCGCAGAUAUCAGGAGGAACACCGAUGGCGAAGGCAGGUCUCUGGGCUGUUACUGACGCUGAGGAGCGAAAGCAUGGGGAGCGAACAGG
RNAcentral lists this ribosomal RNA (253 nucleotides) under uncultured bacterium. RNAcentral's name for it is "partial 16S ribosomal RNA". It matches the Rfam family "Bacterial small subunit ribosomal RNA", at positions 524 to 776 of the family's 1533-position model. The record is from RNAcentral.